This 746-nucleotide long non-coding RNA is filed under the name Mytilus galloprovincialis (Mediterranean mussel). Lineage: Eukaryota; Metazoa; Mollusca; Bivalvia; Mytilida; Mytilidae. The record is from RNAcentral.
GUUGAACUUGGUGUAUUUGAGUGAAAUUUUGCAUACAGUUUGCAAGGAUGAUGACAUAUGUGUUUCUAUAUAUAUAAAAAAAAAUAAGAGGAUGUGGUAUGAUUGCCGAUGAUACAACUCUCCACAAGAGACCAAAUGACACUGACAUUUACAUCUAUAGGUCACUGUACUGCCUUCAACAAUGAGCAAAGCCAUACCGCAUAGUCAGCUAUAAAAGGCCCCGAAAUGACAUAUGUAAAACACUUCAAACGAGAAAACAAACGACCUAAUUUAUGUACAAAAUAAUGAACGAAAAACAAAUAUGUUACAUAGCAACAAACUAAAUUACAGACUACUUGACUCGGGACAGGAACAUACAGAAUGUGGUCAGGUUAAACUCGUUUAAAGGCGCCAAUCCUAUCUCCCUCUAACCUGGGACAUAAACUGGACCCCUAAUGUGUUCCCUUAUCCUUAUCACUAACGGUGCGAAGCUUAAGAUGGAAUUGCGGACCAGUUUAACUUGGGACAGUGGUGUAACAGUACAACAUGAGAAUAAUCUGUAGAAAUCAGUUAAAAAAGGCUUAACUCAUCAGAUGGAUACAAAUAGAAUACAUCUUAAAAAAACAGAGUGGACGUGGAAGGGUACUUAUACAUCCCAACAACCAAAAGACUUUAAGUACAGAGUACUCGCAGUUACUGACAGCUAGUUGAAAGCUAAUAACAACUAAUACAAAAAGCAUGCAUCUUAGAGGCAUAAUCAGAGGCGG